This is a long non-coding RNA of Triticum aestivum (bread wheat), 268 nucleotides long. RefSeq lists it as uncharacterized. The transcript has 2 exons. The record is from RefSeq and is a predicted model, not a curated record. Lineage: Eukaryota; Viridiplantae; Streptophyta; Magnoliopsida; Poales; Poaceae.
GGCUGGCAGGUUCAUCUUGCUCAACCAUAGUCACGAUUAACGGAAAAUGGCGUAUCAUAAAACAGGGCAACGGUGACCUUCCUUAUGCAUGUUGUUCUGUACAAUCCUCGAUCUUCAUUGGUCCCAAUAAAUGUUACUAAAUCAGGGGUACCUUGUUCUCUCUGGAAGAACAAACCAUUUUAUAUUGCCCAGACCCAUAUUCUAAUUUAACUCUCUCAAACCAUCGCUGUCAAUAAAUUCUAUGUGAAAUCGUUAUUGGAAUACGUGA